Molecule: ribosomal RNA, 254 nt
Filed under: uncultured bacterium
Lineage: Bacteria
Description: partial 16S ribosomal RNA
Rfam family: Bacterial small subunit ribosomal RNA
Source: RNAcentral
UACGAAGGGUGCAAGCGUUACUCGGAAUUACUGGGCGUAAAGCGUGCGUAGGUGGUUCGUUAAGUCUGAUGUGAAACCUCCAGGCUCAACCUGGAGACGCCACCUGAUACUGCUGUGGCUAGAGUCCGGUAGGGGAGCGUGGAAUUCCUGGUGUAGCGGUGAAAUGCGCAGAUAUCAGGAGGAACACCAGCGGCGAAGGCGGCGCUCUGGGCCGGAACUGACGCUGAGGAGCGAAAGCGUGGGUAGCAAACAGG